This 429-nucleotide ribosomal RNA is filed under the name bacterium. RNAcentral's name for it is "partial 16S ribosomal RNA". It matches the Rfam family "Bacterial small subunit ribosomal RNA", at positions 355 to 776 of the family's 1533-position model. The record is from RNAcentral.
UAGGGAAUCUUCGGCAAUGGGGGCAACCCUGACCGAGCAACGCCGCGUGAGUGAAGAAGGUUUUCGGAUCGUAAAGCUCUGUUGUAAGAGAAGAACGUGUGUGAGAGUGGAAAGUUCACACAGUGACGGUAACUUACCAGAAAGGGACGGCUAACUACGUGCCAGCAGCCGCGGUAAUACGUAGGUCCCGAGCGUUUUCCGGAUUUAUUGGGCGUAAAGCGAGCGCAGGCGGUUUAAUAAGUCUGAAGUUAAAGGCAGUGGCUUAACCAUUGUUCGCUUUGGAAACUGUUAAACUUGAGUGCAGAAGGGGAGAGUGGAAUUCCAUGUGUAGCGGUGAAAUGCGUAGAUAUAUGGAGGAACACCGGUGGCGAAAGCGGCUCUCUGGUCUGUAACUGACGCUGAGGCUCGAAAGCGUAGGGAGCAAACAGG